CACAAGAGGACAUACAUAGACCAACAAGGGCAGAUAAAUAUAAUAAGAAUAGUGUUCAAGGGACGGUCAUCCAUAACCAGAAAAAUACUAUAGGUGGAUGGUGUAUAUUUUCAAAACAAUGAAUUGAUGUACUUAAUCUACUUCCCUAGUAGGUGUCAUGACUCCUUUCAUUAAUCUGAUGAAUGUUAUUUAUCUAUAUAUUGCAUCGUAUAUGUUACAAAUUCCAAUUUGUUGUGGCUAACGUUAGCAAGGUGGCUGUGGCUCACGUUAGUUAGGGUAGGGGUUAAGGUUAGGGUUAAGUUUGAAGUUAGUGUUUGGAGAUAGGGUUAGGCAUUAAGGUUAGGGUUAGGGGAAGUGUUAGUUAACAUGCUAAGUAGUUGAAAGGUUGCGACACUGAACACAAAUAUAAACGCAACAUGCAGCGAAAUGGAGAAAGGGAGAUGGAGAAAAAGGGAAGUAAAUAGUUUGCUUGAAUGUUCGAGUGCAAAGAGUGAGAGGGAAUUAGGGGAGGCCAGAGAGGGGGAAAGUACAUUCAGUUUGGAGUAGUAGAGAGAGCACAGGAUCAAGACUUCGACAUAAAGCAUUAUAUCAGGAACUACAUCUCGAGACAGCUGGACCAACCAGACGGUACUGAGUCCAACACUCUGACUGAGAGCUGAGAGCCGAGAGCCUCAGAACCCACAAGAUGAGGAAUCUACUGAUAUUAAUCAUCCUGUCCUUCAUGACAGGUUGUGUGAGCUGCCUUGAAGUGGAAGGAUGCUCAGGAGGAACUGUCAUCUUCACCUGUAAAUACCCAGACAACUAUCAAAACAACGAUAAAUAUUUCUGCAAGGAAUCAACUCAAAGUUGUGAGGAGAAAAUAAAAAGUGGGAUGAAGAACACCUGGGAGAACAAGGAUAGAUUCUCUCUGUGUGACACUAAUAGGGAACUCUUUACAGUGAUAAUCAGAAAACUGGAGAAAAAAAAGAUGAAGGGAACUACAAAUGUGAAGUGGCCACAUCAGAUCCAUCAAGUGGCCAUGUUACUAUCGUGGAGCUGAAAGUAAAGGAAGAUGACUGCUUUAAGAAAUCAGUCAAAGAGACAGCCUAUCUGGGGAGAAACGCUACCAUCACCUGCAAGUAUCCAGAGGACCAUGAGAAUCGCACCAAGUAUUUCUGCAAACAAGACGAUCGCUUCAUCUGCAAAGACAAUAUCACUUUAGAAUCUGAAAAAAUAUCAAACAAACAUGGUCGAUUAUUUGUGUCUGAUAACAGAAGGGAGAGUCUUCACUGUGACUUUCACCAACCUGACUGUGGAGGAUACAGGGGUAUACUGGUGUGGUGGGAAAACUCAUGUCUACACCACCCUGAUCACUGAAGUAGAACUCGCAGUUAACGCGCCACCCAAGACCACCACGGUGACAACCAUGUCUCCUGCAUCUUCAUCCAGGUCACCACCAUCACCACUAAAUAGAGCUGCCUCCUCAACACACAGGCUGAGCACAGAUGCAGGGAAUAAUGGAAAGGGUGGUCAUGGUAUUGGUGACUCUGAAGGUAUAAAAGAGCGCUCCCUUCAGCCAGACUCAGUUCCGGCGACCACCAUCUACGCCUCUGACUCUCUUCACUACGCCAGUGUCAACUUCCAGAAGAACCCCGUCUGCCCCACCGAAGCCACCGCCGCCAUCGCUAAAGAGGACACUCCUUUUGCUGACUACGCCACUGUGAACUUUGGUCAAAGCCCCGCCUAAUCUAUGGUCAAUCAUCCAAACAGGGCUUCGGAGGCUGUACUUCACAGUCAACAAACCCUGAGACACAUGAGUCACUGGCGACCAAUCACAACGGAUAUAGGCCUACACACACUGGCAACCAAUCACAAGGGGCGUGUUUUAAACUCUGUGCCACUCGAUGUCUUUCAAAUAAGAGGACAUUUUGUAAAUAAUUACAAAAUAAUUACAAAAUUACAAAAUGUCCUCUUAUUUGAAAGACAUCGAGUGGUAGAAAAGGUAGAAAAGGACACUAUCCCCUCAAGGGUUACAACGUGCGUUUACACUUCUCUAAGUAGCUUUCCUUCACUGGAGACAGGACAUGAGACAUUCUGUGCAUCAGAGGGGUAAAGACUAGGGCACUAUGCAAAGGCAGUCAUGUAGGGAAGCCCUACAGCUGCAUCAUCUGCUUCAUGUCCUUACAGUCAGAUGUGUUGCUGACUUCUCUUCCAUGUCUUUUCACCCCUUUAUGUUUGGGACACUUAAUUUGCAUUUUAAGUUUUUAUCAGUAAACUCAGUAACUGUC
Salmo salar (Atlantic salmon) is the source of this 2267-nucleotide long non-coding RNA. RefSeq lists it as uncharacterized. The record is from RefSeq and is a predicted model, not a curated record. Lineage: Eukaryota; Metazoa; Chordata; Actinopteri; Salmoniformes; Salmonidae.